Molecule: ribosomal RNA, 468 nt
Filed under: uncultured bacterium
Lineage: Bacteria
Description: partial 16S ribosomal RNA
Rfam family: Bacterial small subunit ribosomal RNA
Source: RNAcentral
GACGAACGCUGGCGGCGUGCUUAACACAUGCAAGUCGAACGGAAAGGCCCUGCUUUUGUGGGGUGCUCGAGUGGCGAACGGGUGAGUAACACGUGAGUAACCUGCCCUUGACUUUGGGAUAACUUCAGGAAACUGGGGCUAAUACCGGAUAGGAGCUCCUGCUGCAUGGUGGGGGUUGGAAAGUUUCGGCGGUUGGGGAUGGACUCGCGGCUUAUCAGCUUGUUGGUGGGGUAGUGGCUUACCAAGGCUUUGACGGGUAGCCGGCCUGAGAGGGUGACCGGCCACAUUGGGACUGAGAUACGGCCCAGAAUCCUACGGGAGGCAGCAGUGGGGAAUAUUCCACAAUGGGCGGAAGCCUGAUGCAGCAACGCCGCGUGCGGGAUGACGGCCUUCGGGUUGUAAACCGCUUUCGCCUGUGACGAAGCGUGAGUGACGGUAAUGGGUAAAGAAGCACCGGCUAACUACGUG